Non-coding RNA from Schistosoma mattheei, 46 nucleotides. The record is from Rfam. Lineage: Eukaryota; Metazoa; Platyhelminthes; Trematoda; Strigeidida; Schistosomatidae.
GCACUGCUGAGGAGUCCCAUACUAGGACGAUACGGCCGUCCAGUGC